AGCCUACGGGACGCAGCAGUAGGGAAUCUUCCACAAUGGGCGAAAGCCUGAUGGAGCAACGCCGCGUGGGUGAAAAAGGUCUUCGGAUCGUAAAACCCUGUUGUUAGAGAAGAAAGUGCGUGAGAGUAACUGUUCACGUUUCGACGGUAUCUAACCAGAAAGCCACGGCUAACUACGUGCCAGCAGCCGCGGUAAUACGUAGGUGGCAAGCGUUAUCCGGAUUUAUUGGGCGUAAAGGGAACGAAGGCGGUCUUUUAAGCCUGAUGUGAAAGCCUUCGGCUUAACCGGCGUAGUGCAUUGGAAAC
Molecule: ribosomal RNA, 305 nt
Filed under: uncultured bacterium
Lineage: Bacteria
Description: bacterial SSU rRNA
Rfam family: Bacterial small subunit ribosomal RNA
Source: RNAcentral